RNAcentral lists this ribosomal RNA (2559 nucleotides) under Escherichia coli. Its description in RNAcentral is "partial 23S ribosomal RNA". It matches the Rfam family "Bacterial large subunit ribosomal RNA", at positions 398 to 2925 of the family's 2925-position model. Lineage: Bacteria; Pseudomonadati; Pseudomonadota; Gammaproteobacteria; Enterobacterales; Enterobacteriaceae. The record is from RNAcentral.
UGUGAGCUCGAUGAGUAGGGCGGGACACGUGGUAUCCUGUCUGAAUAUGGGGGGACCAUCCUCCAAGGCUAAAUACUCCUGACUGACCGAUAGUGAACCAGUACCGUGAGGGAAAGGCGAAAAGAACCCCGGCGAGGGGAGUGAAAAAGAACCUGAAACCGUGUACGUACAAGCAGUGGGAGCACGCUUAGGCGUGUGACUGCGUACCUUUUGUAUAAUGGGUCAGCGACUUAUAUUCUGUAGCAAGGUUAACCGAAUAGGGGAGCCGAAGGGAAACCGAGUCUUAACUGGGCGUUAAGUUGCAGGGUAUAGACCCGAAACCCGGUGAUCUAGCCAUGGGCAGGUUGAAGGUUGGGUAACACUAACUGGAGGACCGAACCGACUAAUGUUGAAAAAUUAGCGGAUGACUUGUGGCUGGGGGUGAAAGGCCAAUCAAACCGGGAGAUAGCUGGUUCUCCCCGAAAGCUAUUUAGGUAGCGCCUCGUGAAUUCAUCUCCGGGGGUAGAGCACUGUUUCGGCAAGGGGGUCAUCCCGACUUACCAACCCGAUGCAAACUGCGAAUACCGGAGAAUGUUAUCACGGGAGACACACGGCGGGUGCUAACGUCCGUCGUGAAGAGGGAAACAACCCAGACCGCCAGCUAAGGUCCCAAAGUCAUGGUUAAGUGGGAAACGAUGUGGGAAGGCCCAGACAGCCAGGAUGUUGGCUUAGAAGCAGCCAUCAUUUAAAGAAAGCGUAAUAGCUCACUGGUCGAGUCGGCCUGCGCGGAAGAUGUAACGGGGCUAAACCAUGCACCGAAGCUGCGGCAGCGACGCUUAUGCGUUGUUGGGUAGGGGAGCGUUCUGUAAGCCUGCGAAGGUGUGCUGUGAGGCAUGCUGGAGGUAUCAGAAGUGCGAAUGCUGACAUAAGUAACGAUAAAGCGGGUGAAAAGCCCGCUCGCCGGAAGACCAAGGGUUCCUGUCCAACGUUAAUCGGGGCAGGGUGAGUCGACCCCUAAGGCGAGGCCGAAAGGCGUAGUCGAUGGGAAACAGGUUAAUAUUCCUGUACUUGGUGUUACUGCGAAGGGGGGACGGAGAAGGCUAUGUUGGCCGGGCGACGGUUGUCCCGGUUUAAGCGUGUAGGCUGGUUUUCCAGGCAAAUCCGGAAAAUCAAGGCUGAGGCGUGAUGACGAGGCACUACGGUGCUGAAGCAACAAAUGCCCUGCUUCCAGGAAAAGCCUCUAAGCAUCAGGUAACAUCAAAUCGUACCCCAAACCGACACAGGUGGUCAGGUAGAGAAUACCAAGGCGCUUGAGAGAACUCGGGUGAAGGAACUAGGCAAAAUGGUGCCGUAACUUCGGGAGAAGGCACGCUGAUAUGUAGGUGAAGUCCCUCGCGGAUGGAGCUGAAAUCAGUCGAAGAUACCAGCUGGCUGCAACUGUUUAUUAAAAACACAGCACUGUGCAAACACGAAAGUGGACGUAUACGGUGUGACGCCUGCCCGGUGCCGGAAGGUUAAUUGAUGGGGUCAGCGCAAGCGAAGCUCUUGAUCGAAGCCCCGGUAAACGGCGGCCGUAACUAUAACGGUCCUAAGGUAGCGAAAUUCCUUGUCGGGUAAGUUCCGACCUGCACGAAUGGCGUAAUGAUGGCCAGGCUGUCUCCACCCGAGACUCAGUGAAAUUGAACUCGCUGUGAAGAUGCAGUGUACCCGCGGCAAGACGGAAAGACCCCGUGAACCUUUACUAUAGCUUGACACUGAACAUUGAGCCUUGAUGUGUAGGAUAGGUGGGAGGCUUUGAAGUGUGGACGCCAGUCUGCAUGGAGCCGACCUUGAAAUACCACCCUUUAAUGUUUGAUGUUCUAACGUUGACCCGUAAUCCGGGUUGCGGACAGUGUCUGGUGGGUAGUUUGACUGGGGCGGUCUCCUCCUAAAGAGUAACGGAGGAGCACGAAGGUUGGCUAAUCCUGGUCGGACAUCAGGAGGUUAGUGCAAUGGCAUAAGCCAGCUUGACUGCGAGCGUGACGGCGCGAGCAGGUGCGAAAGCAGGUCAUAGUGAUCCGGUGGUUCUGAAUGGAAGGGCCAUCGCUCAACGGAUAAAAGGUACUCCGGGGAUAACAGGCUGAUACCGCCCAAGAGUUCAUAUCGACGGCGGUGUUUGGCACCUCGAUGUCGGCUCAUCACAUCCUGGGGCUGAAGUAGGUCCCAAGGGUAUGGCUGUUCGCCAUUUAAAGUGGUACGCGAGCUGGGUUUAGAACGUCGUGAGACAGUUCGGUCCCUAUCUGCCGUGGGCGCUGGAGAACUGAGGGGGGCUGCUCCUAGUACGAGAGGACCGGAGUGGACGCAUCACUGGUGUUCGGGUUGUCAUGCCAAUGGCACUGCCCGGUAGCUAAAUGCGGAAGAGAUAAGUGCUGAAAGCAUCUAAGCACGAAACUUGCCCCGAGAUGAGUUCUCCCUGACUCCUUGAGAGUCCUGAAGGAACGUUGAAGACGACGACGUUGAUAGGCCGGGUGUGUAAGCGCAGCGAUGCGUUGAGCUAACCGGUACUAAUGAACCGUGAGGCUUAACCUUACAACGCCGAAG